GUUUCUUUGACACAUUCACGCUGAGUUUUCAUCUUGUGUAGAAAAUUCGCUAAAUAACAGUUAUGUUAGCUGACCUUCAAGAUGGUGUGACAUGUUUCGAUUUGAAAUAAGGUAUUUGAUCAUUUAUGUGAAACAAUGGUGAAUUUGAUUGUAGUUCUGAUACAACACAAUCAGAUGUAAAUUAUAUAGGUGAACUGAGAAUUUUUCAUAAACUACUCUUAGAGAGUGGUACUUCAAUGUAAGCAAACUAUCUUAACUGACGAGUUAUUGGAACAGUAAUGGAAAAUGUGAAAUUGUGUUCUUCUAUUCUUUGUGUUGGUUGUUAAACCAACUAUAGAAAAGAGUAGAAUUGUUAGUUUGCUACACUAACAGAACAGAAGCACCAGAGAUGUUAAUGUUUUAAUGAUACGGUUAUUGAUUUCAACUGUUCUAAUCUAUUUGGACCAAAGAAGUAGAGAGAUAUUGGGAAUAUAGGGUUUGAGUGUUUGAUAGUGUGUGGUUCUAAUGUAUCAGCGAGAUGCAACAAGCUAACGUAAUGGACAUAUUUGUGAUGAUGUACUGUGCAGUUGCAACUGAUCUUCUCAAGAUUCACGGACAGGUACAGGACACUUGAAAGCGAUCCGGCAAUAGAGGACUUGUUGGAGCCGAGAGAGAGACUGAGCUUGGCCUAAAAGGACAACUGUGAGGUGGCUGAGAUGAGAUGGAUCUCACAGACACACAGACAGACUGUCCUACAGCUGAGAGAGGAGUCUACUCUGGGGCGCUUGCACGUCUAGGUGCUGCACGUCUACAGGAUGCUGGGUUCCUGUGAGCUGGACUGAUUCGAGUCCUGAUGAUUCUGCAAUGUGAUGGAGAAGGCAACCUCCAACCGAGAGGAUGGAGGCAAAGGAAAGCUCCGGUUCGGGACAACGGGGGCCGCAAAAGAUCUACUGAACAAUAUCAUGCUACGCUGAUUGGGUCCAUACCAGGUACAUCUCAUCUGCUGUCCAGGUAGCUGAGAGAGGAACCUGCAGGUCGACGACACGCUACAGGAGGGCUUCAUUGUUUAAAGAAAUGGUUCAUAACUGACUGUCUGACGUUUGGAGGAGCAGAACAUUUGUGAUGACUUUGGAAGUACAUCCAAAUGGAACCAUGGAGAGGACUUUUCAGUGAAUCAAGCAAAUGGCAUGAGAGGACUUUGUAACAGUGAUACAUUGAAGGAUGUAUUCAGUGAUAGGUGUUUAUUUUAACAUAAAAAGGUUUGAUACCAAGGUUUGACAUGGUAUCAAGAGGAUGGAUUGUUGUGGAAAUUUCUCUAACCAAUGUAUUCUCUCUGAUUAAAGGACUGAGAGCCCCUUAUUCAAAUUAGAAAAGGAAUGUGGGGGAUCUGGUAUUUGCCUAGGGGGCAUCUAU
Molecule: long non-coding RNA, 1392 nt
Organism: Esox lucius (northern pike)
Lineage: Eukaryota; Metazoa; Chordata; Actinopteri; Esociformes; Esocidae
Source: Ensembl